CAAUCCGACAGUAUUUGUUGUGAAUUUGUUUGUUGCUUAGUAGAGUACUGAUAGUAGUUUAGUUUCCAAAAGAAAAUCAGAGUUUAACUGAUAUGCAAGAGGUGAGCUGUAUCAAAUUCAUCUCAUUUUAUCUCUUCAACCAAACACUGAACUAGAACCAUUCCAUUCCAUCAAACUGCACUCUACUAAACACAGGGAUGGAACCAACCCAUUACACUGGAAUGGAACCAUGACAUUUCAUUCCACUUCGUUCCUGAACCAAACACAC
Molecule: ribosomal RNA, 268 nt
Filed under: Triticum aestivum (bread wheat)
Lineage: Eukaryota; Viridiplantae; Streptophyta; Magnoliopsida; Poales; Poaceae
Description: partial small subunit ribosomal RNA
Source: RNAcentral